GACGAACGCUGGCGGCGUGCUUAACACAUGCAAGUCGAACGGAAAGGCCCUGCUUUUGUGGGGUGCUCGAGUGGCGAACGGGUGAGUAACACGUGAGUAACCUGCCCUUUACUUUGGGAUAACUUCAGGAAACUGGGGCUAAUACCGGAUAGGAGCUCCUGCUGCAUGGUGGGGGUUGGAAAGUUUCGGCGGUUGGGGAUGGACUCGCGGCUUAUCAGCUUGUUGGUGGGGUAGUGGCUUACCAAGGCUUUGACGGGUAGCCGGCCUGAGAGGGUGACCGGCCACAUUGGGACUGAGAUACGGCCCAGACUCCUACGGGAGGCAGCAGUGGGGAAUAUUGCACAAUGGGCGGAAGACUGAUGCAGCAACGACGCGUGAGGGAUGACGGCCUGCGGGUUGUAAACCGCUUUCGCCUGUGACGAAGAGUGAGUGACGGUAAUGGGUAAAGAAGCACCGGCUAACUACGUG
This 468-nucleotide ribosomal RNA is filed under the name uncultured bacterium. RNAcentral's name for it is "partial 16S ribosomal RNA". It matches the Rfam family "Bacterial small subunit ribosomal RNA", at positions 28 to 507 of the family's 1533-position model. The record is from RNAcentral.